GUUGGUAUAGUUUAAUGGUAGAACAGCUGUACAUUGUAUUGUAUAGUAUAUCCUAGUUCGAUUCUAGGUAGCUUCA
This 76-nucleotide transfer RNA is filed under the name Penicillium decumbens. It matches the Rfam family "tRNA". Rfam says of the family: Transfer RNA (tRNA) molecules are approximately 80 nucleotides in length. Their secondary structure includes four short double-helical elements and three loops (D, anti-codon, and T loops). The record is from Rfam by way of RNAcentral. Lineage: Eukaryota; Fungi; Ascomycota; Eurotiomycetes; Eurotiales; Aspergillaceae.